UCCAACUCAGUCCUGUCCUCAUAGCUUUAGAAACAAAUCCUGAAGUUGUGAAGGCAGCAGGUCACACUGAGUCACACAUAUCUGGAGGUCCAGAUGCUCUAAUAGAAGGAGCCAAGAAGGAAGAGCGGAGACAGGAGCCUAACCUCUUAGGUUAUUUCCUGGCCUCCCUUCUGUGACCUAUGACCGAGACUGACCUUUAGCUGGAGAAUGUGACAUUUUGUUCUCCUCUAGCUGACAUGUGAUGCUCUCAUUAUUCAAAGGCAACCAUCUCUGGAACAGUUCCAACCAGAGCAGAAGAUGGAAGACAGAAGUUUAGAUUGCUUCACCAAGAUGUAAAUGUUGUCAUCUAUUUGGAGAUUUCAUAACUUUACAAAGAAAGAUGCUGAGGUCUCACUGGGGUCACCAGUGGUCCUCUUAAUUGCAGCAACUCUUCAUUUCAGCAAAAACAUUGGGCCUCUUAAUGCAGGUUCAGAUACGGUUCCUCUUUCUGAAGCCAUCAUUUUUUCUCCUCCUCCUGAUUCUUGAAAAACAGUAGUUUCGCCAUUAUAGUGUUUUGUUAUUUUUUAGUAUAGUUGAAAAAUAAAAUAACAUCUUGGU
Apodemus sylvaticus (European woodmouse) is the source of this 597-nucleotide long non-coding RNA. RefSeq lists it as uncharacterized. NCBI's taxonomy places the organism in Eukaryota, Metazoa, Chordata, Mammalia, Rodentia, Muridae. The record is from RefSeq and is a predicted model, not a curated record. The transcript is spliced from 3 exons.